AGAGUUAAAUAGUACGUGAAAUUGUUGAAAGGGAAACGAUUGAAGUCAGUCGUACCGACGGAAAAUCAACUACUUGAGUGAGUACUUGUGGGCGUAUGUGAGCUUUACGGCCGCGUUGUUUGCAAUGUUCGUACUCUUGUGGUGUACUUUUUCGUAUGGUAGGUCAGCGUCGGUUUUGGGCGCCAUAAAAUAAUCGGAGGAAUGUAGCUUCGACCUCGGUUGAAGUGUUAUAGCCUUUGGUAGAUGUGGUGUCUGGGACCGAGGAUUGCAACGAAUACCCUUUGGGCUAUCCGUCUGACCUCUGAUGGUUGCUUGGGUGCCGAAAGUUUACUUACGGUCAUUCAAGUUGACUGUCAAUAGGCUAGAACGUGGUUACAUUCGUUAAGGACGUUGACGUAAUGGCUUUAAACGA
RNAcentral lists this unclassified non-coding RNA (412 nucleotides) under uncultured Glomeromycotina. Its description in RNAcentral is "sequence contains 28S rRNA gene". Lineage: Eukaryota; Fungi; Glomeromycota. The record is from RNAcentral.